RNAcentral lists this ribosomal RNA (450 nucleotides) under uncultured bacterium. RNAcentral's name for it is "partial 16S ribosomal RNA". It matches the Rfam family "Bacterial small subunit ribosomal RNA", at positions 338 to 795 of the family's 1533-position model. The record is from RNAcentral.
CCUACGGGUGGCUGCAGUAAGGAAUAUUGGUCAAUGGACGCAAGUCUGAACCAGCCAUGCCGCGUGGAGGAUGAAGGUCCUCUGGAUUGUAAACUUCUUUUAUUUGGGAAGAAACUCCCGAUUUCCAUCGGGAUUGACGGUACCAGAUGAAUAAGCACCGGCUAACUCCGUGCCAGCAGCCGCGGUAAUACGGAGGGUGCAAGCGUUAUCGGGUUUCAAGGGGGCGUAAGGGUGCGUAGGUGGGAAGGUUGAAACGUCCGGGCUUAACCAGGAAACUGCCAUUGAUACUAUUUGUCUUGAAUACUCUGGAGGUGAGCGGAAUAUGUCAUGUAGCGGUGAAAUGCUUAGAUAUGACAUAGAACACCCAUUGCGAAGGCAGCUCACUACGGAAAUAUUGACGCUGAGGCACGAAAGCGUGGGGAUCAAACAGGAUUAGAUACCCUGGUAGUC